RNAcentral lists this long non-coding RNA (6408 nucleotides) under Ananas comosus (pineapple). RNAcentral's name for it is "long non-coding RNA (ACOM_LNC009472)". The record is from RNAcentral. Lineage: Eukaryota; Viridiplantae; Streptophyta; Magnoliopsida; Poales; Bromeliaceae.
AAAUUAGGGUUAAUUUUGUAUAGGUCCUUACAAAAGUCUUGAUGUUUUCAAAUAUAUUCCCGUCUUUAGAAUCCGUUAAAAAAAUUUAGUUAACCAUAAAUUAAAUACUUUAAUCCUUGUUAUGUUUGACAUUUUUUAUUUCCUUAUGUUAUAUUGUUAAUACUUUUUUAGAGAUAUAUUGUGAUGGCAAAAUUGAAAAUAUAAAUAGUUUUUUAAUGGUUCUCUAACGAUAACAAAUCAGUGGAAUAUAUUUGAAAACAUCAGGGCUUUUGUAAGGACAAAAUAUGAAAAUUAAACUUUUUAGGGAUAUAUUUGUCAUUUACUAUGUUUGCAGACCUAUAUGAUUAACCUUUAAAAUUAUUAUGUUAAAAAAAAUAAUUUAAGUAAAUAAUUGGGCUUACAUGGGCCCUUAAUUAACUUCUUUAAUAAAUAGCUGAUUGAGUCAUGACCCAUUCACUAAAUGGAUCUGACUUGGAUUUGACCCAUAUGUCCCUAUUAUUUUUAUUUCAGGGAUAAUAUCUAAAAAAUAUUCAAUACCUCAAAAAUAUCUUAUUUACUACUGAAGUACCAAAAUAUUCUGUUGUUUUUAAAAAAUCUAUUUAAAUAUCCCUAUUUUUCCUUGCAUUUACUAAUGGGUUGAAUUUUAGAGUCAUAUUUUAGUAAUUUGAGAAUAAAUUUGAAAAUUUUGAAUAGUAGUAGUAACGGGUAAAUAAGCAAAAGCCCUAAUUUUUUUCAUUUGGAGGAGCAAAUUUUGUAUAGUAGUAACGAUGCACCUCUAGAGUCGUGCAUCAUGUACCUAUCGAACUUUGGUCUCAUAUCUCAUAUUUAAAAUCUAGCAUAAAAAUCAAUAUAAGUCGCAACAUUUUUAACAUUUAAAAGUUGGACAAUUAGACUAUCAGAAUAGAAGUACGAGAUGGAUGGAGGGCUGAUGAAUUCAUGUGAGCCAAACUCAAUGGCUUGGCUUGGGUUGUCAACGAGCCAAACACGAGUGUUCGUUAAGAUUUCGAGAUGAAAAAUUCAGCUCGUCUAUUAAACGAGCGAUCGAUCUCGAGCUCAUUUUGAGCUGAGCACGAGACUGCCUCACAAACAGCAAGCUGGAUUCCAGCCUAGCUAAGCCUAUAUCUAUCUCUCUCUCUCUCUCUCUCUCUAAUAAUUCUCUCUUUAGAUUAUCCUCUAUUUAGCUCUCUCUCUCUCUCUCUCUCUACUAAAGUUUAGGCCAAAAUUUGAAAUUGUUAAAAAAAAAAGAAGAAGCUCUUCUUUCAAGGCCCAGUUAAUGGCGAUCAUCAAGCCCUAAAGCCAUCACAAGAAUCACUGACAUUUAUAUUAAUUAAUGUAGUUUGUUAAUCAAACCAUUAAGCUACAUACUUCAAAUUUGCAUAGCUAUUUCUUUAUGUUAUAAUACAUUAAAUAUAAAUUAUGGACAAGAAAUCAUGCAGUUUACAUACAUACAUACAUACAUACUAACAUAUAUGGGAAACUUUAAAAACACUCAUGUGGUUUCACACUUUCUCACUUGAGUGCAUAGUUAGUUAAUUCGGAUUGCGGCCAAAAUUCGGUAUGGUAUAAUUUGAAUAAAAUUUAUCUACUAAUUUUUAAAUUUAUUAAAAAAUACGGCUAAAAAAUGGAUUCGCCAAUUAUUCGGAUACGUAAUUUAUACAGAUAUUAUACGUUUACCAAUUAAAAAUUCGGAUCAAAAAUUCGGCUAUUAAAUUAAGUUUUUUCUCUCAAAAUUUAUGCUAUUGGCAUAAAUAUUUAUAUUUCUUAAGAAUAUAAGAAAAAGAACUACAAAAUUAAGCUAAUUACGUAAAAAAAAUAGCAAACUAUAUUAGCCUCAAAUAAAUAAUAAAUUAAAUAAAUAGAGAUUAAAAUAAAAAUAAGAGAUUAAAUUUUUUUUGAUCGAGUGAUUUUUUUUUGGAGGAGGAGAAGAGGCGAUCGUUUAGAAAGGAUUUUUUUUUUUUUUUUUUUUUUUUUUUUUUUUUUUUUUUUUUUUUUUUUUUUUUUUUUUGCGUGAGAGUUUAAUUUGGAUUUUGGAAAGCAUUUUUUUUUUAAUUUUUCUUUGUUUUGGGCGAGCCGAGCCGCAAGGCGCGGGCCAGGGCGCUGGCGCGGGCGCGGUCACGAGCACGGGCUGGCUGUUUUUUUGGGCGAAUUAUUCGCGAAUCGCGAAUAGUUCACGAAUAAUUAUUUUUUCCCAAAAAAACACGUUUUUUUCCGAAUUUUUCGGAAAAAUACUUAUUCGGCCGUUUAAUUCGUUUUCUCAAAAAUUUGCGAAUAACUCGCGAAUAAUUCGCAAAUUUACUAACAGAGCUUGAGUGUUCUGUGGUUUAAAGUGUAUCAAUUUGAUGCCCUGUGGUUUCAUUUUUAUCUUUUCGGUAGCUUUUUCGUUAAUAUUUCGUUAAAUUAUACACAAAAAACUUCAGAUAUCCACAUAGGUUUAUCAAAUAUUCACUUUAGCAUUUUUUAAUUUUGACUUUGUCACUAAUUUAAGAAAAAAAAUAGUGAAAUUCAUAAUAAAAGAGAAAUAUGAAACCACAGGGCACUAAAUUGAUACACAUUAAACCACAGGGCAUUAAAGUGAGAAAGUACGAAACCACAGGGGUGGUUUUUGAAGUUUUCCAUAUAUAUAUAUAUAGUCCGGUUACUAUACUCUUAUGAGUACGAUCGCCUUCGUACUCAAAGUUAUUUUCGAUGAUAGAGCUUCCGAAUUGACGAUCCAUACCGUUAAACAUUAUCUAGAACAUUUAAAACUUCUAGAAAUCAAAUUUUAUAAUUUUUCAAUAUCAUUUACCUUACGAUCAAAAGCUCACAAAAUUGAUAAUUUUUAACGGCCGGUAUGAGAUAUUUGUUAGUUUAACGGUGAAAAAGAAUCGGAAUAGGUUGAAUAUUUGAUAGAAAAUUCUAUUCACUACCUAAAUAAAGAUCAAUAACUCUGAUUUUAACUUGAAGGAUCCAAUCAUCCUUUUUUAGGAUGUCGUUCGAUUUUAACCGUUCAUUUUAUACCCACUUGAUGGACUUUAUAAUGAUUUCAAAAAAUUACGAAAUUUAUUUUCUAGAAGUUUCAAAUACUCUAGAUCAUGUUUAACGGUGUGGAUCGUCGAUUUGAAAAAUCCAACCUCGAAAACAACUUAUGAGUACGAAGAACUAUAUACGCAUAAGAGUAUAGUAGCCCUACUAUAUAUAUAUAUAUAGGGCUUUUUUUGCAAAUAGCCCCCUGACAAAUUUUAUUUGCAAAAUUGGCCCUGUGUAAAAUUUAUUUGCAAAAUUGGCCCUGGCCCUGCCACGCCAGCGCCACGUCAGCGCCAUGUGGGCAGGGCCUGGGCCAUGUACGCAAGUUGAACACGGUGAUUGGUUCACCGUGUCUAAACACGGUGAACCAAUAACCGUGNCUCUCUCUCUCUCUCUCUCUCUCUCUCUCUCUCUAUAUAUAUAUAUAUAUAUAGAGCUUGGCUCCUAUACUUUCGAAAGUACGGAGGCCUCCGUACUUGUAAGUUGUUUUCGAUGAUGGGACAUCCGAUUCAGCGAUCAGUUCCGUUAGACAUGAUCUAUGCUAUUGGAACUAUCUAGAAACCAAAUUUCAUAAUUUUUUGACUUCGUUUGCCUAGUGAACGAGUAGUCUCAAAAUGAACGGCUGAAAAUAAAAAUCUUAUAAAAAAUAGUAAUAAAAGACUCAAAUUUCAAAUCGGAAGUAUUAUUCUUGCUCUUGAUAUUAAGUAGAAUUUUCUAUUAAAGUUUCAUGUAAUUUGGAUACUUCUACACCGUUGAACUUAAAAACGUGCCACAUCGGCCGUUAAAAUAGUCAUUUUUGAGAUCCUUUGAUCGCUUGGUAAAUGAUGUUGAAAAAUUAUGAAAUUUGGUUUCUAGAUAGUUCUAAUAGAGUAAAUUAUGCCUAAUGGAGCCGAUCGUCGAAUCGGAUGUCCUAUUAUCGAAAACAACUUACAAGUACGAAAGCCUCCGUACUUUCGAAAGUACGUGAGACCUACUAUAUAUAUAUGUAGAGUUGAGCUAGAAUACUCUCAAAAGCACGAAAGUGUUGGUGCUUUUGAAUUUUUAACCCUUGGAUGGAGAGAUGUAGGGUUAAGAUGAUGGUAGCAAGUGGUGGUAGGUGGUGGUUCGUGGAAUAGUGUUUGAUCCAAAGGCUAUUAGUAAUCAAAAAGUAAAUCCAACGGCUAAAAACUUAGAAGAGGUUGGUGUUUCUAAAAGUAUUCUAGCUCAAUUAUAUAUAUAUAUAUAUAUAUAUAUAUAUAACCAAAUUAUAUAUGCAUGAUUUCUUGGAUUUUUUUUUUUUUGGUCCUUCUUGCAAUGUGCUAGUUAGAUAUAUCCAUGUCUUAAUGUUCUUACAAAACAAUAAAUAAAUUGAUUAAAGGUGAAAAACAAAAGGGAAACCUUUUCUCCUGUUUAUGUUCUCUCUCUUUUUUUUGAACAAAUAACAAUUUUUUUAGCACCAGAUCAUUGUAAGCCAUUCUCUCUUUGCAAAGCUCGAACCUUACUGCAAUAAACGUACAUCAAGAAAUUUGAUUAUAAUAAGCAUUCGCACUACAACAAAAACGGUCUAUAGCGGCACUUUUAAAUGUAGGUACAUGUCAAAAAAGUGCUGCUAGUUAAAAUUAUCAACACUUUUAAAAAGUGUUGCUAUAUGUGGGGUCGCUAGGUAUAUAGUGACAGUUAAAUAGUGUCGCUAUAUAUAACCUAAAAGAGUGCUGCUAAUUUACCAACACUUAUUUAAGCAUUUAGCAACCGCCGAAACUCUAUCUCGUUGGCUGCGGUGGCAGAGGAGGACGACAGGAAAUGCUCUUCGUCUAGAAUUUCAGUGGAUUGAGUGAAGAGAGAAGAAAAGAUGGUAAUUGAUUUUUCUUUUUUUUUUUCUUUUCUGUUUGUAAUCGGGCCAAAUAGACUGCGUGUGGUGGGUUGAGUAGAAUAAUCUUUUAUUUUUAGAUGGAUUGGGCUUUAUAUUUAAGCAUUAGUAGAUAUUUUUUUAAGUUUUAGCAUAAAUGGGACACUUAUUCAAAAGUGUCCCAAACAUGUGUCCCUAUAAUCUAAUUCUGUUGUAGUGUCGAUCCCAUGAGGAAUAGUUUAUAAGCGGUUAAUUAAUUAGUAGUUGAUUAGUUAGUAAAACUCAUGAUAUAUUGUAAGAGACAAUUAAUCUAUCUAAUAUUAUGAAUUAAUGGACUCAACAUGGCCUAUACUUUUCUAAACAAUUGAAAUGUAAGGAUUCUUCAAGUGUAAUUAAUCUCACAAAUCAUCAUCAAUACUCACUUAACCAUAUUUGUUCGCUGACGAAAGUCGAAGGAACCCUCAUUUCCUCCGUAAAAUGAUCGAAUAUGGCGAUCGAGAACAACGUCGCACUUGGUUCGCACUACUACUUGAUACAAUUGUAUGAUACAAAAGAAUCACUACUUUUCUCAUUUUGAGAAGAAAAGAAUUGCUUUUCUUCUUCUUCUUUUUCCCAAUUUUUCUCUUAUUCUUUGUUUAGUUACUUUAUUAAAAGUCGAAUCAAUUUUCGCAUAUGAUCAUAUAUAUCCACUCGUGUGUACUUAUCAUAAACCAUUACUAACGUCGCGUUCAAAUUCAUUUGUGUUUAUGAGAUCCUAUACAGAUGGAUUAAGCAUUUCAUCGCAGUUUAUUUUCGGAAUAACAUUAGGUUUCGAUUGAGCAUAUUCGUUUCGAGUAUAAUACUAUCACAAGUGUUUAGUACAUUUAUAGAAGGUGUAUGUUGAUAAAAAUAUUAAUCAAUUUUAUAGAAUCCUAUAAUUUUGAUUAUAGUAUAUAUUUUAGUAUCAAUUUUCUUGAAUAAUUAAAAAUAAUUAAAAAUAAUUAAAAACAGGCAAACUGCAAAAAAGAAAAAAAAGGAAAAACAAUACAAAAGAGAUAGCUAGUACAUAUUUGAGUAGUGCUUCUAUACUUGUUAUAUUUUUUAUACUGUUCAUUCAUUUCUAUUCAAUGAUUCAGAUUCAAUUUUUUAAAAAUUAUGAUCUACAAUAGUAUGUCAUUUUGAGAGAGGUACCAAUUACAAGGUACACCAAAAAGAGAUAUUUCGGUUUUUUAAUAAGUGGGUAAUUUAGUAAUUUUACCUCCACUAUAUUAUCAAAUUUUCCUUCUCUCUUUGUUUUCUUUUUUUCUCUCUAUCUUUCCUCUUCAUCCACAGUAAAGAUGUAAAGGGGUCGGAUUCAGGGCAAAUUUUCAAAAAUCCGAACCCGAAUUCAACUAUCAAACCCAAAACCUAAAUCCAAAAUCCAAAUCCGACGAAUUUAAAAAAAUCAUAUCUACACAUGAACUCGACUUAAAAUCCGAAACCCGAACCCUACCCCGAACCCGAAACAUUAAUCCUCUUUACAAUAUUUCAAAAUAUAUUCCUAAUCAAUUACCCACAUUCAAAAUUUUUUUUUAAUAGUGAUACACAAUUAAUGUCUAAAU